Molecule: ribosomal RNA, 130 nt
Filed under: Mogibacterium diversum
Lineage: Bacteria; Bacillati; Bacillota; Clostridia; Peptostreptococcales; Anaerovoracaceae
Description: partial 23S ribosomal RNA
Rfam family: Bacterial large subunit ribosomal RNA
Source: RNAcentral
GCCCACCUCAAGAUAAGAUUUCCUCCGAAAGGUAAGACCCGUGAGAGACUAUCACGUUGAUAGGUCAGAGGUGUAAGUACGGUAACGUAUUCAGCUGACUGAUACUAAUAGGUCGAACACUUGACCAAAU